This 537-nucleotide ribosomal RNA is filed under the name Parahelicomyces paludosus. RNAcentral's name for it is "SSU rRNA". It matches the Rfam family "Bacterial small subunit ribosomal RNA", at positions 442 to 1113 of the family's 1533-position model. Lineage: Eukaryota; Fungi; Ascomycota; Dothideomycetes; Tubeufiales; Tubeufiaceae. The record is from RNAcentral.
AUAAAGUUCGAAAUAGUAAAUGAUUAUGACAUUUAUCUAUUUUUAAGUCUUGACCAAAUAUCGUGCCAGCAGUCGCGGUAAUACGAUGGAGACAAGUGUUAGUCAUCUUUAUUAGGUGUAAAGGGUACCUAGACGGCUAGAGUUAUAUGGGAGAGGUAAAUAUUAGAACUAUAGGAGUAGUGAUGAAAUACUUUGAUACUUAUGGGACUGGGAAAGGCGAAAGCAAACCUCUAUAACUGACGUUGAGGGACGAAGGCUUGGGUAACGAAUAGGAUUAGAUACCCUAGUAGUCCAGGCAGACAAUGAUGAGUGUCAUAAUAAAUGAAAGUGUAAACACUCCACCUCAAGAGUAAUGUGGCAACGCAGGAACUGAAAUCAUUAGACCGUUUCUGAGAACAGUAGUGAAGUAUGUUGUUCAAUUCGAUAAUCCGCGAAAAAUCUUACCACAAUUUGAAUUACAAGCGUUGCACGGCUGUCUUCAGUUAAUGUCGUGAGACUAUGGUUAGCUCCAUUAAAUUUACGUAAGCCCUUGCUUUA